AUGAGCAUGACAUAUCAUCCUGAAACUGAUGGACAGACUGAACGUGUUAAUCACCAGGUUGAAUGUUUUUUGAGGUGUUUCAUCAGUGCUCAUCCGAAGAAAUGGGCCAGGUGGAUCUCACUUUGCGAGUUUUGGUACAAUGCAAAUUGGCACUCGGUACUUAACAAAUCUCCAUUUGAAGUCCUUUAUGGCCAUGGUCGUCGGUACUUUGGAAUUUCUGCUUCUGAUUCCAUUGACGCCGUUGAUUUACAACAAUGGUUGGAUGCUCGGGCAGUCGUUCAGCAGUUGGUGCGCCAGCAUCUGUUGCGUGUUCAACAAAGAAUGAAGCACCAGGCUGACAAGAAACGCACCGGAAGAACAUUUGCUGUUGGUGAUCGGGUAUUUCUCAAACUUCAACCAUAUGCGCAGUCCUCGGUGGUGCACAAAGCUAAUCACAAACUCGCCUUCAAGUACUUUGGUUCAUUUCUUAUCCUGGAGAAGAUUGGCGAGGUGGCUUACCGCUUGCAGUUACCAGCGGCCAGCCGUAUACAUCCAGUUUUCCAUGUUUCACAACUGAAAUGUUGUGUGCAGCCACACCAUGAGGUACUCAAGUCGCUCCCCUCUAUC
This 606-nucleotide ribosomal RNA is filed under the name Triticum aestivum (bread wheat). RNAcentral's name for it is "partial small subunit ribosomal RNA". The record is from RNAcentral. Lineage: Eukaryota; Viridiplantae; Streptophyta; Magnoliopsida; Poales; Poaceae.